This 410-nucleotide ribosomal RNA is filed under the name uncultured bacterium. Its description in RNAcentral is "bacterial SSU rRNA". It matches the Rfam family "Bacterial small subunit ribosomal RNA", at positions 28 to 438 of the family's 1533-position model. The record is from RNAcentral.
GACGAACGCUGGCGGCGUGCUUAACACAUGCAAGUCGAACGAUGAAGCUAGAGCUUGCUCUGGUGAAUUAGUGGCGAACGGGUGAGUAACACGUGAGUAACCUGCCCCGAACUCUGGGAUAACUGCUGGAAAUGGUAGCUAAUACUGGAUACGACCUACGAAGGCAUCUUCUGUAGGUGGAAAGAAUUUCGGUUCGGGAUGGACUCGCGGCCUAUCAGCUUGUUGGUGAGGUAAUGGCUCACCAAGGCGACGACGGGUAGCCGGCCUGAGAGGGUGACCGGCCACACUGGGACUGAGACACGGCCCAGACUCCUACGGGAGGCAGCAGUGGGGAAUAUUGCACAAUGGGCGCAAGCCUGAUGCAGCAACGCCGCGUGAGGGAUGACGGCCUUCGGUGUAACUCUUUAGUA